Molecule: non-coding RNA, 117 nt
Organism: Aedes aegypti (yellow fever mosquito)
Lineage: Eukaryota; Metazoa; Arthropoda; Insecta; Diptera; Culicidae
Source: Rfam
UGCCCAGCAACUCCUUUCCCUAUAUACUCGCGGUACUGGCCGGUGUACGAGUAACCUUAGGGUAGAUCGGGUAACCAACCACCGAUGGGAGCUUUGGUCGUAUGCUGACAGGGAAGG